Non-coding RNA from Acanthosepion pharaonis, 98 nucleotides. The record is from the annotation of a GenBank genome assembly. NCBI's taxonomy places the organism in Eukaryota, Metazoa, Mollusca, Cephalopoda, Sepiida, Sepiidae.
UUACAACACCAGUUCCUGUAUGAUCACUGAAGUUAAGCAAUGUCAAGCCUGGUCAGUAUGUAGAUGGGUGACUGCUUGGGAAUAAUAGGUACUGUAAG